This 439-nucleotide ribosomal RNA is filed under the name uncultured bacterium. RNAcentral describes it as "partial 16S ribosomal RNA". It matches the Rfam family "Bacterial small subunit ribosomal RNA", at positions 338 to 794 of the family's 1533-position model. The record is from RNAcentral.
CCUACGGGGGGCAGCAGUGGGGAAUAUUGCACAAUGGGGGAAACCCUGAUGCAGCGACGCCGCGUGAGUGAAGAAGUAUUUCGGUACGUAAAGCUCUAUCAGCAGGGAAGAAAAUGACGGUACCUGACUAAGAAGCCCCGGCUAACUACGUGCCAGCAGCCGCGGUAAUACGUAGGGGGCAAGCGUUAUCCGGAUUUACUGGGUGUAAAGGGAGCGUAGACGGCAGCGCAAGUCUGGAGUGAAAUCCCAUGGCUUAACCAUGGAACUGCUUUGGAAACUGUGCAGCUAGAGUGCAGGAGAGGUAAGCGGAAUUCCUAGUGUAGCGGUGAAAUGCGUAGAUAUUAGGAGGAACACCAGUGGCGAAGGCGGCUUACUGGACUGUAACUGACGUUGAGGCUCGAAAGCGUGGGGAGCAAACAGGAUUAGAUACCCUUGUAUC